Molecule: unclassified non-coding RNA, 498 nt
Filed under: uncultured Diversispora
Lineage: Eukaryota; Fungi; Glomeromycota; Glomeromycetes; Diversisporales; Diversisporaceae
Description: SSU rRNA
Rfam family: Eukaryotic small subunit ribosomal RNA
Source: RNAcentral
CCAAUAGCGUAUAUUAAAGUUGUUGCAGUUAAAAAGCUCGUAGUUGAACCUCGGGGUCUACCCAUUGGUCAGGCUUAAUUGUCUGCACUGGUGAGAUGGAUCUCUACCUUCUGAGGAACUUUCAUGCCAUUUAUUUGGUGUGAUGGGAAAUCAGGACUGUUACUUUGAAAAAAUUAGAGUGUUUAAAGCAGACUAUCGUCUGAAUACAUUAGCAUGGAAUAAUGAAAUAGGACGUUGACCCUAUUUUGUUGGUUUCUAGGAUUGACGUAAUGAUUAAUAGGGAUAGUUGGGGGCAUUAGUAUUCAAUUGUCAGAGGUGAAAUUCUUGGAUUUAUUGAAGACUAACUACUGCGAAAGCAGUUGCCAAGGAUGUUUUCAUUAAUCAAGAACGAAAGUUAGGGGAUCGAAGACGAUCAGAUACCGUCGUAGUCUUAACCAUAAACUAUGCCGACUAGGGAUCGGAUGAUGUUAUUUUUAAUGACUCAUUCGGCGCCUUACG